Long non-coding RNA from Triticum aestivum (bread wheat), 1908 nucleotides. RefSeq lists it as uncharacterized. Lineage: Eukaryota; Viridiplantae; Streptophyta; Magnoliopsida; Poales; Poaceae. The record is from RefSeq and is a predicted model, not a curated record. The transcript has 3 exons.
CGUCAGCUGGCCUGGCGGCGGCGCUCCGCUCCCGAUCCCCAACCUCUCGUCUCUCUCCAUCGAGAACCCUGGGUAGGUCGCCGCCGCCUCCCACGCCCACCUCUCCGAUCCCAGUCUAGGGUGAAACAUAGGUGCUUCUCAGUUGGGUAUCGUCCGAGAGAAAGGCGAAUAAGGCGAGGCGCUCCUGGCGGCGUGGGAAGGGAGUUGAAGCCGGAGUCGCCGAUGGCGAGGGCCGCCGUGAGGGAGGAAGGGGUGGUUGGGGCGGUGGUAGAGUCACGCGAAUGCCGUCCUUCCUUGCUGCAAAGGCGGCCGGCGUGCAGCUCCUUGCACCCUGUCCUCCUCAUCACUGCACUCCCGACGCGAAUUAGACAUGGCAACUUCAACUAUAACCUUCAUUUCCUUGUAUCGGAGAUGGCGGUUUGACCCCUGGGGAUCUGGGCUAUGGUUAUUUGAUGAAAUUCCAACCAUGGUGAUGUGCAAAUUCAUGUCAGUUCUUAUAAGAAGAAUAAAUGGCAUCCAUCUUGGUCUCAGUGGCUCUAAAGAAGACAUGAUAAGAAACUGAACUGGUGGGGAUGCUUGAAUUGAUGGACUGAAGGUCCUCUGCAGGCCUAUAUAUAAAUCAGAGUAACACUUUUACAGUUGAUUUGAUGCAAUUGAAAUCAUGGAUCUUUAUAUGCUCAUCACACUGUCAGUAGUUGGCCAUAAAUUAGUGGUUUCAAUUCAUCCAUCUAGCUGAUGGUUAUGUGCUCGGUCUCUCUGAAUUUAUCAUGAUCAAACUUCAAUGUGCGUAUUUAAACUACCUUUUUGCCUUAGUGGACUUGUAGUGUGCAGAUGAAUGCAACUUGUUAUGCUGCAGGCCUCCACCAUGAUGGUCAGGUCCACCACUAAGAGCACACUUGACAAGCUAUGGGCCAAGAGGAUGAGGAAAACAGGAUCUGGAUGGGUACCAUAACAGGUUCAAGGAUCUGGUCGCCAAGGGCGGCUGCUCGCCUAAUAGAUGCAAGGCUGGAAGCCCCCCGAGCGACCGUAGCAAUGAUGGGGGCAUGAAUGACCAUGUUUGGAUCGCUGAUGAUAAUCGGAAUGAUGAGUUUGACGAAUCACCAAGUAUACUUGAUCCUCUCAUGUUUGAUGAUGUGAACAGCAUAACCCUUCAGAGGUACAAGCUGGUGAAAUGGUUCAUCGAACCCCAUUUUUGAGGACCACGUAUCUGGUUGCUUUGUGCGACUUAGGGUUGGCAAGAUAAAAUCAGGCACCCCCAAGUACAUGCUGUGUAUAGUUAGAAACAUGGAUGCCGGUGACCCAAAGCGGCCGUACAAGCUGGAGAGUUACAAAACAUGCAGGUAUCUCAAUGUUUUAUGGGAUAAUGAAGCUAAUGCUGCUCAAUGGCAGAUGACUCAGGUCUCUUAACUCUCCAGCCCUUGAAGAGUUCAAGGAGUGGCUUCAAGAGGCUGAAAAGAAUGGUGUGUGCAUACCAACCCGGCAAGAAGUGCAGGAGAAGAAAGAAGCCAUUAUAAAGACCUGCAACCUUUUGUAUUCAGUGUCUACUGUAAAGCAUAUGCUGUGAGAGAAGAUAUCAGUUGUGAGACGUCCUAUGAAUGUUGCUGCUGAGAAGGAUAGGUUGAGGGAUCAGUUGGAUAUGGCCCUGGUCCUCAGGGAUGAUGAAAUGGCGCCAGAGAGUUUCCAUUUUAAUGCUAAACACUGACUGUGAGUCAUCUAUCUGCCAGUUUUGUUACCUUACCUUUGCGGCUAUAGAAGCUUUCUUUGUCCUCUAGAGAUUAUUAUUUUUGCGUAACCAGUCAAAAUACUUAAGAUACUUAAGUGAUAUUAUUGGCGAAAUAAGACGAGUCCUCUUUAGCUUGUAAUUAUUCAAUUUCUAGAUGUUGUGAUGCUUUCUUGUUUCCUGGUAUU